RNAcentral lists this small RNA (27 nucleotides) under Bombyx mori (domestic silkworm). RNAcentral describes it as "ovarian small RNA-5447". Lineage: Eukaryota; Metazoa; Arthropoda; Insecta; Lepidoptera; Bombycidae. The record is from RNAcentral.
GGCAGUCAGCUGGGAUUGGGGUGGAGA